UACGGGGGGAGCAAGCGUUGUUCGGAUUUACUGGGCGUAAAGGGCGCGUAGGCGGUCGUGACAAGUCACUUGUGAAAUCUCCGGGCUUAACUCGGAAACGGUCAAGUGAUACUGUCGGACUAGAGUACAGAAGGGGCAACUGGAAUUCUCGGGUGUAGCGGUGAAAUGCGCAGAUAUCAGGAGGAACACCGAUGGCGAAGGCAGGUCUCUGGGCCACUACUGACGCUGAGAAGCGAAAGCAUGGGGAGCGAACAGG
Molecule: ribosomal RNA, 256 nt
Filed under: uncultured bacterium
Lineage: Bacteria
Description: partial 16S ribosomal RNA
Rfam family: Bacterial small subunit ribosomal RNA
Source: RNAcentral